UACGUAGGGCGCAAGCGUUGUCCGGAAUUAUUGGGCGUAAAGAGCUCGUAGGCGGUUUGUCGCGUCUGCUGUGAAAACCUAAGGCUCAACCUUGGGCUUGCAGUGGGUACGGGCAGACUAGAGUGCGGUAGGGGUGACUGGAAUUCCUGGUGUAGCGGUGGAAUGCGCAGAUAUCAGGAGGAACACCGAUGGCGAAGGCAGGUCACUGGGCCGCAACUGACGCUGAGGCGCGAAAGCGUGGGGAGCAAACAGG
RNAcentral lists this ribosomal RNA (253 nucleotides) under uncultured bacterium. RNAcentral's name for it is "partial 16S ribosomal RNA". It matches the Rfam family "Bacterial small subunit ribosomal RNA", at positions 524 to 776 of the family's 1533-position model. The record is from RNAcentral.